CCUACGGGAGGCAGCAGUAGGGAAUCUUCCACAAUGGGCGAAAGCCUGAUGGAGCAACGCCGCGUGGGUGAAGAAGGUCUUCGGAUCGUAAAACCCUGUUGUUAGAGAAGAAAGUGCGUGAGAGUAACUGUUCACGUUUCGACGGUAUCUAACCAGAAAGCCACGGCUAACUACGUGCCAGCAGCCGCGGUAAUACGUAGGUGGCAAGCGUUAUCCGGAUUUAUUGGGCGUAAAGGGAACGCAGGCGGUCUUUUAAGUCUGAUGUGAAAGCCUUCGGCUUAACCGGGGUAGUGCAUUGGAAACUGGGAGACGUGAGUGCCGAAGAGGAGAGUGGAACUCCAUGUGUAGCGGUGAAAUGCGUAGAUAUAUGGAAGAACACCAGUGGCGAAAGCGGCUCUCUGGUCUGUAACUGACGCUGAGGUUCGAAAGCGUGGGUAGCAAACAGGAUUAGAUACCCUUGUAGUC
RNAcentral lists this ribosomal RNA (465 nucleotides) under uncultured bacterium. RNAcentral's name for it is "partial 16S ribosomal RNA". It matches the Rfam family "Bacterial small subunit ribosomal RNA", at positions 338 to 795 of the family's 1533-position model. The record is from RNAcentral.